This 476-nucleotide ribosomal RNA is filed under the name uncultured bacterium. RNAcentral's name for it is "partial 16S ribosomal RNA". It matches the Rfam family "Bacterial small subunit ribosomal RNA", at positions 28 to 523 of the family's 1533-position model. The record is from RNAcentral.
GAUGAACGCUGGCGGCGUGCUUAACACAUGCAAGUCGAGCGAGUGAGUUCUUCGGAACGAUCUAGCGGCGGACGGGUGAGUAACACGUGGGCAACCUGCCUCAUAGAGGGGAAUAGCCUCCCGAAAGGGAGAUUAAUACCGCAUAAAAUUAUCGAGUGGCAUCACAUGAUAAUCAAAGGAGUAAUCCGCUAUGAGAUGGGCCCGCGGCGCAUUAGCUAGUUGGUAAGGUAACGGCUUACCAAGGCGACGAUGCGUAGCCGACCUGAGAGGGUGAUCGGCCACAUUGGGACUGAGACACAGCCCAGACUCCUACGGGAGGCAGCAGUGGGGAAUAUUGCACAAUGGGGGAAACCCUGAUGCAGCAACGCCGCGUGAGUGAUGAAGGUCUUCGGAUUGUAAAGCUCUGUCUUUGGGGACGAUAAUGACGGUACCCAAGGAGGAAGCCACGGCUAACUACGUGCCAGCAGCCGCCGUAA